Small nuclear RNA from Vombatus ursinus (common wombat), 107 nucleotides. NCBI's taxonomy places the organism in Eukaryota, Metazoa, Chordata, Mammalia, Diprotodontia, Vombatidae. The record is from Ensembl.
GUGCUUGCUUCAGCAACACAUAUACUAACAUUGGAACAAUACAGAGAAGAUUAGCAUGGCCCCUGCUCAAGGAUGACAUGCAAAUUUGUGAAGCAUUCCAUAUUUUU